GACGAACGCUGGCGGCGUGCUUAACACAUGCAAGUCGAGCGGACUUUGAGAGCUUGCUCUCAAAGUUAGCGGCGGACGGGUGAGUAACACGUGGGUAAUCUGCCCUCAAGUGGGGAAUAACACAAAGAAAUUUGUGCUAAUACCGCAUAAAGUAUGCUAAUCGCAUGAUAGGCAUAAAAAAGAUUUAUUGCUUGAGGAUGAGCCCGCGGCCCAUUAGCUAGUUGGUGAGGUAAAGGCCCACCAAGGCCACGAUGGGUAGCCGACCUGAGAGGGUGAUCGGCCACAUUGGAACUGAGACACGGUCCAGACUCCUACGGGAGGCAGCAGUGGGGAAUAUUGCACAAUGGGGGAAACCCUGAUGCAGCAACGCCGCGUGAGCGACGAAGGCCUUCGGGUUGUAAAGCUCUGUCUUCGCUGACGAAUAAAUGACGGUAAGCGAGGAGGAAGCCACGGCUAACUACGUGCCAGCAGCCGCGGUAAUACGUAGGUGGCAAGCGUUGUCCGGAAUUAUUGGGCGUAAAGGAUGCGUAGGCGGUUUUUUAAGUGGGAUGUGAAAUACCUAGGCUUAACUUAGGAAUGGCAUUCCAAACUGGAAGACUAGAGUGCAGGAGAGGAAAGUGGAAUUCCCAGUGUAGCGGUGAAAUGCGUAGAGAUUGGGAGGAACACCAGUGGCGAAGGCGACUUUCUGGACUGUAACUGACGCUGAGGCAUGAAAGCGUGGGGGAGCAAACAGGAUUAGAUACCCUGGUAGUCCACGCUGUAAACGAUGAGUACUAGGUGUGGGGGGCGAAGCCCUCUGUGCCGCAGUUAACACAAUAAGUACUCCGCCUGGGAAGUACGAUCGCAAGAUUAAAACUCAAAGGAAUUGACGGGGGCCCGCACAAGCAGCGGAGCAUGUGGUUUAAUUCGACGCAACGCGAAGAACCUUACCAGGGCUUGACAUCCAGAGAAUCCCGU
This 957-nucleotide ribosomal RNA is filed under the name uncultured bacterium. RNAcentral describes it as "bacterial SSU rRNA". It matches the Rfam family "Bacterial small subunit ribosomal RNA", at positions 28 to 1001 of the family's 1533-position model. The record is from RNAcentral.